Molecule: transfer RNA, 66 nt
Filed under: Platysternon megacephalum (big-headed turtle)
Lineage: Eukaryota; Metazoa; Chordata; Testudines; Platysternidae
Description: tRNA-Cys
Source: RNAcentral
AACCUCGUAGUGAAAUUCAUUCCGAAUUGCAAAUUCGGAGAUACACUUUGAUUUGUGUCGGGGUUU